Molecule: non-coding RNA, 1562 nt
Organism: Pelobates cultripes (western spadefoot toad)
Lineage: Eukaryota; Metazoa; Chordata; Amphibia; Anura; Pelobatidae
Source: the annotation of a GenBank genome assembly
GAACAAUCUCACCGACACCGCUACCCUGGAGAUACAAGAAGAACCACUCCCGCGAGAAGUCAGCCAUGUUCCACAGACACUGCACAAAUUAACAAGCGAUGAUGUCAUCGCCCUGUGUGUACAGAGUGAAGCAGGGCUCUGCAAGGGUAGAGAUAAACUGUAUUCAUUGAAACUGUUGCAGAUUUUGGGAAGUAUAUGUUAUGAACCAAUGUUAGAAUUGGAUACAUUGUUUAUUUAGUGUGUUAUAUGUCCCACCUAAGAGUUAUUUAAUAUGUCGAGGGUAAUUAUUUUUCAUUGUUUUAGUUGAAGCAAAACGAACGUACUAAGCUCUUGGGCAUAACUGCUGGUUCGUGAUUCUUGUACAUUUUGGCUAAGAGUUUGGUAAUUUGCUUGAUCACCCUAUCGACACAAAUUUGAAUGAAUUGCAGUUCAGACCAAAACAAAUCUUCAAGUCUAGUCUCAACCUAUCUUUAUCUUCUAGACUAUAAGUUCAUUAUCACUUUCUGAUGCAUCUGUAUAUCUAAAUAAAAAAAAGUGCUGUCCUGCAUUCUAAUAUUCUACCAAGCUGAAUAAUUAGUAUUAUGAAAUGACAAUAAUAAAUAAUAGCUUUAGAUACAUCUAGUUUAAAGAUGGAAAGUUUAGAUGUUUAUUUUUUUGGCUGAAAUAUGUAGAAAGAAAUUGGCAGAAAAAUCCCAAUUUAUUUAUCUGCCAGUAAAUGUUAAGCAUUCGUGACUCCCAGGUUAGAGAGAUCCCUGAAUUAAUUAGGUGUUAAUUAGCUUUCUGUGGGAUGAUUAAAUUCAGUGGAUGGUGGGAAAGAGGGAUCGGAGAGUAAAUCAAGGAGAGGACACGAAAAGAUGGAGAGAUACAAUAUUGUGGAGGAUGGAUGGAUACCAAGAAAGAAAGAUGGGGGAGUGGAUAGAGCUUCAGAAGUGAGAUAGUAUCCAGUAUUAAUACAGAAAGAGAUUUAUUCGUUACACUGAGAGCUGCGGAGAAAUGACAAGGGAGAUACACAUUUAGGCCGAAAUAGUCUAGCUGAGAACAAAAAAAGACGGCUGAACUUUUUUUUAUCCAAUUCAGCUAUUUUGACCUAAACUUUGCUAUCACCUUGUCAAAAUUCACCUAAGCUCUGUUUUGUGGAGUUGUGGUCCCCUUUGUCAGGCCAGUGAAACCUGCAGAUGAUGGAAUUAGCUACCGAUGGAAGAAUAAAGACAAAUGGCUUCUGUAUAACAGACUUAAUGUAGAAAUGCAGAUCUAGUUUCUAUUAUUUUUAAUGAAUUCAGCUUCUCCAAGAGAUUGGCAAUGGGUGCUGUAAUGUUUUUAUCAAGCACCACAUAUGUGAAGUUUAAAACAGUUUGAAAAACCAUGGGAGAAAUUUUAUCAAAGUGUUCUGAAAAGUGUCUUUGCUUUAAUCUGUCAGUAUUUACUACAUUAUUUUUAUUUUAUUUUUUAACAAUUAUUCAAAGUAAUAUCCAUUUUAGAAAAAGCUACCAAACUAAAAAAAAACAACAAAAAGUGAAAUAGAAUGGUUUUGUAGUGGAAAAAGAAAUAAAUCAAGUUGAUAU